CUCAGGAGCUCUAGCUUUGCAGGAUAAUUUAUAUAGAAAAUAAGGAAUUCCAUGAGGAAAGGAUAUAAUAUUUUACAUUAGCAGAAGAAUAUGGAUAAAAAUUCUUGCCAAGAAAGGUUGGCUUCAGGGAGUCUUAGAAAAUACAAAAAACUUUUAAAUUUCAAGAAAUUCUUAGAAGUUCUGAAGAACUCAGAAAUUCUAAAACAAAGAUAUGAGAAAGAAGUAGGGGAUUUAUAAGUGUCUAUGAGGUAGAAAGAAGGACUUACAGAAUAGUGGGAAGAAACCAAACAAGUGAUUUGAUAUUACUUAAGACAUCUCCAUACUCUUUAUUGUUCUUGAAUAUAUUGUUGCUCAAUAUUUAAAUGUGUCUUGUGCUUUGUUUUCCCACCAAACUAAUAGGCAAAGAAAACAGUCAUAGAAACUGUCUACUUUCUAUCCCAAGAAAUUCAGAGAAAGACAAUAGUCAAUCUUACUUCAUAGCUAAAAUGCUGUAACAGAGUGACAAGUUCCCGUUCAAUCUCAAUGUCAGACACAUAAUAGACUUGUCCGAUAAUGGAACUUAAGUUCAAAGAUACACAUAUCAACCUCGCUGAUUAUCAUAGCUGCCACCUUCUGCAACUUUAGGAUAUCAUUCUCACUGCAGUCUAUUUGAAUAAAACUCCCUGAACUUAAACAUCAGUAGGGCUCUGAACUAUUUAAAUGUCAUAAAAAUAAUAGCACAUUAGAACUAGAAGCUUAAAAUUCAUCUUAUUUGAUGCAUCCAUUUUGUUGAUGAAGAAGCUGAGGCUGCUGAAAUCAUAGUUACCUGGAAAAACUAGAAUUGAAGAACAGAUUUUGUGAGUCAUGUCCAGUAAAAACAAAACCUCUCUCUUCCAUCACAGCUUUUACUGCUCUCCAACUGGCUCCCGUGUUCUAGUCACAUUGCGAUGGCCAAAUUCCAAGGCCAAGUGUCCCAGCAGAAGUUUCAUAGCAUUUUGUGACCUAGCUUCAGAAGUCAUAAAGCAGCACUUCCACCAUAGUCAAAGGUUCAUCAGGAUUCGAGAGAAGGGAAAAACAGGACCAAUCACCUGAUAGAAGGAAUGCCAUAGUCACAUCGAAAGAGCACAAAAGGACAGGAGGUAUUAUGGUGAUCACCUUUGGAAAAUACAGUCUGCCCCAGAUUGCACACAUUCGUCUAAUUUUGUUCCCUCCUGAAAUUCACUAAGAUAAUAGCAAAUUGAUUUCCCACCCAAGGCAUGUCAACCCCCAAACACAGGAAGAAUGAAAGAAGCAGCAGCAACAAAAUUUUAGAAGCUGGAAAGCAGAUGUUCAACUGGAAAAAGGUUUAACAGACCCCAGAGACCAGAGUCUUAUCCUAGCAACUCAGAAAGCUGAAAACUCAUCAGAUUUCUAACACAGAAUCCUCAAAAACCUAAGGAUACGGUAGCAUCAGGUACCACUGUAAGUGUGAAUAGGAGAGAGCUGAAAUAAGGAGGACUUUAAGUAGCAGUCAAGUCCCUAGAUCUGCUUCCCAGCUUAAGGCAAUCAAAUGACCACGCCUCUUGAAUAUUUGCUCAAUAGGGAAGCGUGUUCUCUUAAAACAAUGAAACAAGGGGGCUCUGGACCCCUUACAGGGUGGAUGGUAAAGGUAGCAUGAUAAAGCAGAAGGACAAGUAUGAGCACUACGACUGAGUCCUCCAGCUCUCCUCCCCUCCUUGGCUUCCUGGCAACUAGGCCAUCAUCCUCCAGGCACAGGACCAGAAACGCUUUCUCUGGCAAUUCAGACCACUUCAAGAGAAUGUAUCCAGAGGUCACAAAACUGAAAAGUGUACCUAUAUCCUUCUGCCCUGAGAUUCACAGGUGAUAGAGCUUCCAGUCAAAGUUUUUGAUCCCUGAGAACUGUUAGACAUCUGAGGAAUGCCUGCGAUGUGAAAAGUAUGAAAAAUAUAAAAAGCAACUUGGGGGAAGCAGACUGUGCACAGGGAAGAGAGCUUUGAAGAUAUAUGUAUUAUUAAUAUCCACUGAAAUGCAAGAGAAGAUAGUAUAACUUUGUAGAAAAGGAAUAGAAUGCUAUAAUAAAAAAGAACAUUCUGAGAACCAAAAGAG
Molecule: long non-coding RNA, 2085 nt
Filed under: Bos taurus (domestic cattle)
Lineage: Eukaryota; Metazoa; Chordata; Mammalia; Artiodactyla; Bovidae
Description: long non-coding RNA NONBTAT031099
Source: RNAcentral